ACCUAAUGGAUCGCACACCAUAAGAGGUGGAGAUUGGAGAUUAAACGGAGAUGAGUAAGAAUGAUUAAAUGCUUUAAUCAUUUAUUUAUGGCAAGGAUUAAUUAAUAUGUUAAUUAAUCAAACGAAUAAGUUCGUUAAAGACCUCGGGAUAUGUUUUGGACCUUAAGGCCUAAUGGGCUUCGAACGUCAAGCCCAUUGACUUAAGUUGUAUGACAACUUAAUGAAUAAUGAUUCACUAAGACCCAAAAGCCCAAACAACACCCCAUGGCCGGCCAUUUAGAGGAAGGGUAGUGAACUUGCUUUAAUUACAAGUUUGCCACUCAAAUGAAUAAAGGUAUAAAUAUGACUUUAUAGCCUUUUUAUUCAUUAGGGUUUCUUUUAGAGAAAAUUGGUAAGAACUUGUCUCUCCAUUUUCUCUCUAGGAGGCCGGCCCCUUGGGGGGUGCAUCUUGCAAUCCCACUACUCCAAGGUCACUCAUUUCUUCUCCAAUCUCUCCUUGGUGAAGAGACUUAGAGGUUCCCUACUUUGGGAACUUGGAGAAACCUAUUCUUCCAUCCAAAAAUAUAGAUUUAAGAUGCAAGGAAUGAAGGCCCUCUCUUUGGGUGAUUAGCCUUUGCUUAUGCAAAGAGGAAUCUACAAAGGUAUAAAUCUCAACUCACUUUGUUUUGAGUUGAUUAAUGGUUCACCAAUCUACUAGGCUUUGAAUUUCUUGGUUAAUGUUUUGUUUUUAAGUGCAUGCUAGCAUGAUUCCGCCUUUAAUUGUUAAUUGCAUGCUAUAUGAUGUUGCUUAAAUGAACAUGUUUUCACAAAAUUUUCCUUCAAGUGGUAUCAGAGCCUAGGUCUAGUAGUUGGUGAAUCCUUUUGGGUUUUGUAGUUCAUAGUUUGUGAUUUAAAAGUUGUAAUUGUUACAAGCUUUAUUCUUGCUUCUUUGAAUGUAAAUUUUGUUAGAAAAUUUGCCAUCUCAAAUGUUGUAGAUGUAGUUCUUAUGAGCAUGAAUAUUGGAGCUAAAAUUUGGUGCCAUGACUUUGGGGAUUUUCGGCCAAAUCCAAAGGGUGGAUUUUUGGGUUCUUGUUUGACUUGUUAAAAGUGUUUUCAAGUGACUUUUGGAACCCUUAUGUACCCUAGUUUGGUUAGAUGUUAUUUCCCUAAAGCUUGAAUGGUUUUGGAAUGUUUUUGGGUGAAAAAUGUUCAUGGAAAAAUUUUGGGUUUUUCAUGAAUGUUCUUCAUUGUUCUUGACAUUUUUGCCAAGAACAAAAAGUUUGGUGUUUUGAUUCAAAGUUUUGAUUAAUUUCAUAAAGUCUUUGUUUUGUGUUGAUUGGUGUGAAAUAUCUAUCAUCAAAACUUUUUAUUUAUUUGAAGGGUGAUGGAAAUGGUGAUGGGUGUGUAAGGAUUAAUUUCCUUUCACACACACCACUUGCACCACUUGUUGCUUUAUGUCUAAAACUCACAAAUCAACACACACAUCACUCUAUCCUCUUCCAAAACCGGCCACCCUUUCAAGUGGGGUACUUUUGGGGCUUUUAUGCAAUUACAUAAAGUUUUGAUACUUUUGUGUAUUUGCACUUUGGCCCAAAAGUUUACGUUUUUACGUUUAGGUCCAAAAACGCUAAAGGACAAAUUGUUUUGUUCCUUUAAUGAAGUUUUUGCAUUGAUUAAAUUUUGGGUUCUAUUGUAAUUACAUGAAGUAGUGGACUUUUGUGUCUUUACAAAGUGACCCCAAAAGUUUUGCAACAUAGCCCAAAAGUUGAGGUUAAUUGCUUUAUGGCCCAAAAGUUGUGGUUAUUGCAUAUUGGCCCAAAUUAAGUAGAGAACAAAAUUGUUUUGUCUCUUUAAAUGAGAAUUGGAUUUUCAUUUUGUUUAGCUCCAUUUAAAUCAAUUUUAUGGAUACAAAAAACCAAAUGAAAAUGUUGCAUUCAAUUUAAUUAGUUAAAGUGUUAAUUAAUUAAAGGGUGAUUAUGAACCUAAGCCUAAUAUAAUUGAGCUAUGUGAUAGGCCGUUUCAAAUUUGUUUGAACCAUGGGAAUGUGUAGAUUAAUUUUGGUUGUAAUUUGAUUUGAUCAAAUGUUGUAAAAAGGGCAUAAGCUCUUCUUUACUUUAAAGUAAUUUGUUUUAUGCAAAUGUUGUAAUGAGCAUAAGCUCACCUUUACUUUGAAGUACUUCUUUCUUGCUUUAUUUGAUAUGCAUGAAAAUGAAGUAGUUAGGUCCAACGCCCCUAAGACAACACGCCUUAAUAUGAUUAAACGCGUAACUAAAAUCAAUCACCAUUCCUAGACCGAGAUUCAACACAAGGCUCGUGUUGAAUCUAAACAAAGGUUCAUAGUCAUCCUAAGGCCCUAAGGCAACUAUAUAGUCCAUCAAAUGAAUGCAAAGGUUAUGUUAGUAGUAUCAUAUACUCUUGCUUUAAAAACCGUUUUAUAAGCAUAGUGGGAGUAUUAUAUACAACUAAAAACAAUCAUAUGGACCAAUAGUUGUAAUAGGACCAAAAUUGUUUUAAUAGAGAUUAAAAUGUAUGUUUAUAUGUGAUGAGACCUAAAACCCUCAACCAAACCAAUAUUAAGUUGAUAAGCGAGAGAUGUUUAGAAUAUCUCUUCGUGGCCUUCCACCGUGGUGGGAUCCAAUCGUUUAUGACUUGUACACCGGCUUCACCCUAUCAUGGGGGAGUACACAGUGCAUGCUUAUACUCAGGAGGAAUCCAUAUACAUAUAUGAUGAGGUGAGUGUAGGCAACGAGGAUAGCUAUAUAUCGUAUCAUCGUGAGGCUAUUCUUGAACCCCUUCACACACUAAGCAUGGUGGGAAGAACUUAACUAAGUGCAAUGGAACCAAUAUCAUAUCAUUGUGAGGUUACAUUCUCUAGAGGCCAAAUAAGAUGGGUACUUGCAUGAGUUGCAAAUGAGUAAGCGUACUCUCUCAUUAUUAUUGUUGCUAGCCAUAUAUCGUAUCAUCGUGAGGUGGGCUUGGUAAUAGUGAGCCUCCCAUAACCUACUAGGAGUUUCAUCCAAAACUCUCGAAUUCCUAUGAGGGAUAUGGAAUUUGCCAAAAAUAGUGGGUGGUGCUAUUUGAUUUAAAGACCCAAAUCAAAUGGCUUAAAAUCAAUCAAUUUAUAUUCGUUAUGUAUUUGUUUACCAAUAUAUUUGCAAACGCUAUCCAACACUUGACAAAUAAAACCGAAUGUUUUAGUUUCCGGACUUGGUACCACAAUCCCAAAGAAUGUCUUAAAAGGAUUGCAUAUGUCUAAGUAGUCUCAUCCUCACAAUCUUCCUAAUGAUAAUGUAUCAUUAGAAGAACAUGUUAGAAAAGUCUAUCAUGAAGAGGACAACACAAACAACCAAUGCUUAUUCCUUCGUUAUAUGAACAAAGGAACUUACGAAGAUUAGCAUAAAGAAAAGGACACUUUUAGUGUUAUUAGUUCUUCACUUACAAAUCGUUGUAUGAAGAAAUAAUGAGUUGUUUUUGAACAACCCUUAGUCAAUGCAAACACUUAGUGCUUGUUUCUUUGUUAAAUGAACAAAGAACUUAAGAAGAAAGCACAAAGGCAUGGACACUUAAUGUGCCAUGAUUCUUCACUUACAAAUUGUUGUAUGAAGAAAUGAGAGUUGCUUUGAACAACUCUUGAAAGUUUGUAAUUAUGUUUAGAACAUAAUGGUUGGUUGACAAAAAUAGUCCAUCAACAUGGACUUAUGAUGAUUUUGAAUCAUUGAGUGUUGAAGUAUUAAAACACUUCUAGAGACGGGAACUAGGCAAGGACUUCACCUUUGUGUCCCUAUCCUAAUCGUUCACUAAGUUUAUUGUAAACUAUGUAGUGUACAAUAACCACAUGCUCUCCAAAAUGUUUGAUGUGUAUAACACAAUUGAAAUAAGUUUCAAGAGAGAUAGUGGGAGUUUAGGGACCAUGACUAUUGUAGUCAAAGGAGAAGUCAAAUGAAGAAGAUAAAAUUAACUCCAAGGGAACAAACUUUCUUUAUGAAAGGAUGGACAUUGGAAGGGGGUAUUUGCAAGAAAUGUCUUGCAAAUGUCAAGAACACACCUUUCGAAGGUGUUGUAAAUUGUUCUUGAAAAGUUCAAAACAGUUGGUUCUUCUACUUGAAUGCUUGAUUCCGUAUUAGUAACUAUGUUUUACAAUCGUUGUAAAAGUGUGACUAAUAAGAAGUAGAAGAUAUAUGAGAGAAGGAAAAGGUGCUUCACAUUCGGAAAGUGAAUCAAAUAUAGAUCUCUGCGAAAGCAGAUGGUACUUACUUCCUCAUAUGAACUACCAAAGAAAUUGGAAAAAAAACAUAGAUUGUCUUUAUAUUCCAAUUUUAAGGAACUAAAUUCCGUCACUAUGUGAAAUGGAUAAAUGUUUUGUUUGACAAAACAUUGUUCUUUAUUAAUCAAUGAUUGGAUUAUGGUAAUCUAAUUGAUUGUCUCUAUAGUAGAGAUAAUAUGGUGGUGUUAACUGUUUAGAACACAACGAUGAUUAAAACCCAAAAGGUUGCAAGGUAGUGACUAAUCCCAACUAAAGUUGUGAUACCUCUAAAAACAUAAAUUACAAGUUAGUCAUAGAUGGAUACUUAGGAUCGUUAGAUCCGGAUCCAAUGUCUUCUUGUUAAAAUUGUAUAGAGGCAAAAUGUUUGAAUCUUCAUUCUUUUGGAAAGAAUAAAGAAUCACAAAGUUGUUGAGGUUAAUUCACUUAGAUGUUAGUGGCACUUGUCCACAACAUAAUACUACUCAUGUUGUAUGACAUUCACCGAAGAUCACCCUCGGUUAGACUAUAGUUUAUUUUAAAUAAACACAAGUCCGAAUACUUUGCAAAAGGUUUCAAAGAAUUCAAGAAAUGUAAGUUGAUGAGUAAGACAUCUAAAGUAUUUACCUCCUUAGAUUUGAUCCAAGGAAAAGUAACACUUUAGAUGAGUUUCCUUGAAAGAUAUCAAGGAAAGAAGCAUCAUAAGAUAAUGGAUUUCUCCAUUAGGAGAAGAACGAACUUGAAUAAGAUUUAGUUCGUUGGAUAUUAUCAAUUACCCAUAUAUAUAGGAUAUAUACUUCUAAAAACAAUAUGAUUGUCAAUUAGAAGAUCUUCCAAAAAUUUUCAUGACUCCAUAAGAUGUAGUUGGAAAGAAAGACAAAUCUUAAGCAUGUUAAGAUUUGGGGUUGUGUGUUAAUACACAAUAUUUGUUUGAUAACAAUCUUGUAGGAUAUCCUUAAAUUAACUUUUGGAUAUCGCUUCUAUAAACCAACUAACAAAUGUUGUUUUGUUGGGUAGUUCAUUGUAAUCCUACAAUGUGAUUUGCCUAAGAGCAAAUGAACGAAGGAUAGAACUCAAAGAAUGGUUCUUUGAGAGACAAGAAAGUAAUCAACAAAUAUAACAACCUAGUUCCUAUACCACAAGCUCCAAGGUAGUCGAGAAGGAUUUAUAAACCGUCUCAGUUGAAUGGUUUGAACUUUAUGACUAUGUCAUAGAGUUGCACCUCUUAAUUCGAAAGAAAUAAGAAUGAAAAUCCUUAUUACUACAUUGAGUGCAUAUACGAUAUAUACUCAUGGGAAUGGUAAAGUACCAUUUGACCCGAAAUAAUGAAACCUUCAUAAGCUAAUUGGUAGCUUAAGGUGACUACAAUCAAAUAGAAUGGUUGACUUUGAAGGAACCAUUUUUGACGUAGUCUUAGUUUCAAUUAAUUCGAAGAUUGCUAGCUACAACUAAAUGGUGAUUCAAUGUUUGGACAUAAUAUGGGUUUCUGAAACCAUUAUUAAGAUAGUCUUGAUAAUAUAUGUCUAAAACUAUGAAUCACAAGACAUAUAAGUUGUGGAGAUCCAUCCAUCAUGGAUCUUAGCAAGCUAGUGGGAGCUAUAAGCGUCUUAUGAGAGAAAGAUCAAAUCGUUUGAUUUCUCAUAAAGAUGUAAAUGAAUCUUUUGUUUACUAGUUUUACAAAAGAUUAGUGGGAGUUAGUCAUAUUCCUAAAUUUGUAUGUAUAUAUAUAUAUAUAUAAAUAUAUAUGUGAUAUAUAUGAAUGUAUAUAUGAUUUAUUAAUUUUGGAAAUGAAAUGAAUACUUCUUCGUUAAAGUUAUGACUUUAAACAUUCGUUAAAGUUAUGACUUUAAACAUUCUAUAAAGAUAGAAUGUAUAUGGGAGACAUAGUCUAUAUACAUGGGAUGGAAAUCUAUAUUGAUAGAUUUUAGGAUAUAAUUUGAUUAUAUCAAUCCCUAAUAAUAGACAAAAGAUGCUAGGAAGUUUCUCAUAUGAUGAUAAACUUUAAUCAGAAGAACAACUCUAGUGAGACUAGGAGGUAGCUCUUCUCAAAGGGAACGUACCCUUUGACUCCCAAAGAAAUAAUGCGUAAAUAAGAAUCCUUUAUGCAUACGCAUAAAGGUGAUUUAUGUAUUUCAUAUUGUAUGAAAAACAUUGAUAUGGGUUGUACCUAGAAAGGUACAAGACGAUAUCAGUGCAAGCCCAGGAUCAGAACCAUGGCAACUGUCAAGUGAGUCCUUAAGUAUUUAAGAAAUACUAAAGGAUAGAUUCCUCAAAGAAUGAGGAAGAAUUAGAGUAACGUAAUGGAAGCGUAAAUGUAUUAGAUUAUGAAUCUAAUCCAUCAUUGGAUGUUUCUUCAUUAUGAAUGAAGAGAUAAACAGAUAUCUCUUUAUUAUGACUAAAGAGAUAUUUGGAUGGAAACAUUAAAGUAAUAACUUUAGUGUGUUCCAUUAUGAAUGCAAGGUAUAUUGCCAUAUAGAAGUUUGCAACAAUGUUGUUUGGAUAGGAAAGUUCAUUUAUGAACUCUCUAUUCGGUUCCAACCAGAAAGUGUAUCUAGUGUACUGACACUAUGACACUAAUGGGGCGAUAGCUCAAGCCAGGGAAUCAAGGUCUCAUCAAGGUCCGAACUCAUAUGAGAGACUGAACCACAUGAUUAAGAAUCAUGUAUAAUGGUGACGUCGUUAUUCUCAAGGUUGCUUCUAUGGAUAACAUAUAGAUAUCCAUUGCCUAGGCCUACUAUUCAGCCAUUUAUGAAAUGACUACAAAAGAGGUAUCAUCACUGAUGACUAAGCUGAUUGGCUCUAGUGCAAGUGGGAGAUUGUUGGAAAUGUGCCCUAAAGCCAAUCAUAUGAUGAUACUUUACGGACAUUUUACAUGUUAAACUAAUCUAGUUUAAUAUAAAGGGCAAAGAUUAUUGUUUGAGCCGUCUCAUAUAAAUGUUAUAUGCUUAAACGAUAAAGUCCAAGGAAUAUGUGAUUGGAAGAAUGUAAUCUAAUGAAGUUAGAUUCAUGAGACCAUUCUUUCGUAGACACAUCCUAAAUGUUCCUGAUCAUAGGAUUGCCAAUUGGGCAUUGACAGUCCGUCAAGAUCGGUACGUGCUAUGUCUUCUCUCAGGGAGAGUGACUAGUCUCGAGUCAUUGGUGUGUGUGACAUCAAGACAAGUACGUAGGUGCUCAGUAGAGAAUGAGUUCACUGAACGUGAUCAACGAAGAGUUCUCAUACUCAUGUCACAUGAGAACUCAUGUUUGGGAUAAUGCAAAUUAGUCCUUUGACCUGAGGCAUCACAGUUGUCUUGUGGUUAAGUCCUUGAUCUUUGAUUAUGUCAAAGUCACCCCAUCGGGGUGUCCACGGCAUCGUUGGGGUUAAGCCACUUAGUCAUGGAGGCAAGUGAAUGCGCAACAAGGGAUCUCUAACCUUCAAACCGUUUGAGGGAGAAUACUCUAUGAUAUGAUUUAGAAUCUCUGGCCAGAGUAUGAAUGAGAUUUAGAAAAGUCGUUCUAAAUCACAUUCAAUGAAAUCAUAUAAGCACACGAAUCACAUUGGAUAGUAGACAUGAAUAAAUAAACUAUCAAACCAAACAAUGUGGUCAGGAGUAUAUUAGAUUAGAGAAAAGACCGUAUUGCAUUUGUAAUCCCAAACUGAAUAGGUUUUCUCUACCUCUUCUGAUUAGCUUGGGUAACCAUGAUAUGCUGCAAGGUGUCACUCAUGGUUUGUGGAAGCCCUAAACGUGUGUAAUCACUAAAAGGGAGAAUUGAAAGUAAGUUUCAAUUCACAAUCGAUUUGAAAUGGUUUUAAUCGCCCACUGCCUCGCUAAAAGGAACCUAAUGGAUCGCACACCAUAAGAGGUGGAGAUUGGAGAUUAAACGGAGAUGAGUAAGAAUGAUUAAAUGCUUUAAUCAUUUAUUUAUGGCAAGGAUUAAUUAAUAUGUUAAUUAAUCAAACGAAUAAGUUCGUUAAAGACCUCGGGAUAUGUGUUUUGGACCUUAAGGCCUAAUGGGCUUCGAACGUCAAGCCCAUUGACUUAAGUUGUAUGACAACUUAAUGAAUAAUGAUUCACUAAGAC
Molecule: long non-coding RNA, 8280 nt
Filed under: Malus domestica (apple)
Lineage: Eukaryota; Viridiplantae; Streptophyta; Magnoliopsida; Rosales; Rosaceae
Description: long non-coding RNA (MDOM_LNC005747)
Source: RNAcentral